Lathyrus oleraceus (garden pea) is the source of this 106-nucleotide small nucleolar RNA. The record is from RefSeq and is a predicted model, not a curated record. Lineage: Eukaryota; Viridiplantae; Streptophyta; Magnoliopsida; Fabales; Fabaceae.
AAUCCAUGGUGAGAACAAGCUCUUAUCAUUUCCUUAUAUCGUUCCCAUGCUUCAAAGAGCAAUUCACCGUCCAUCUGCAUGAAGCAGGUAAUUUGGCUCCUUAACU